This 537-nucleotide ribosomal RNA is filed under the name Emericellopsis terricola. RNAcentral describes it as "eukaryotic LSU rRNA". The stretch from base 165 to 318 matches the Rfam family "5.8S ribosomal RNA". The record is from RNAcentral. Lineage: Eukaryota; Fungi; Ascomycota; Sordariomycetes; Hypocreales; Bionectriaceae.
GGGGCUUUCUGACAUCACUCCAACCCCUGUGACAUACCUAUGUUGCUUCGGCGGGCCGUCCCGCGGCGCGCCCACGUGGCGUGACCCGGACCCAGGCGCCCGCCGGGGAACCAAACUCUUGUCUUCGAGUGUCUCCUCUGAGUGGCAUAAGCAAAAAUAAACAAAACUUUCAGCAACGGAUCUCUUGGUUCUGGCAUCGAUGAAGAACGCAGCGAAAUGCGAUAAGUAAUGUGAAUUGCAGAAUUCAGUGAAUCAUCGAAUCUUUGAACGCACAUUGCGCCCGCCAGUAUUCUGGCGGGCAUGCCUGUCUGAGCGUCAUUUCAACCCUCAGCCCCCGUUCGCGGGGCGCUGGCGUUGGGGCCCGGCCGUCCUCGCGGCGGCCGUCCCCGAAACACAGUGGCGGUCUCCCGCAGACUCCCCUGCGUAGUAGCACUACCUCGCAGAAGGGACGAGCGGGCUGGCCACGCCGUAAAACACCCCACUUCUCCAGGUUGACCUCAGAUCAGGUAGGAAUACCCGCUGAACUUAAGCAUAUCU